GGCGAAUGUUGCCAAGAGGAUAAGGCAAUGAAUUGUGGCUUCAUUAUACGCGAGUUCGAAUCUCGUCAUUCGCC
This 74-nucleotide transfer RNA is filed under the name Leachiella pacifica. RNAcentral describes it as "tRNA-His". It matches the Rfam family "tRNA". From Rfam's summary of the family: Transfer RNA (tRNA) molecules are approximately 80 nucleotides in length. Their secondary structure includes four short double-helical elements and three loops (D, anti-codon, and T loops). Further hydrogen bonds mediate the characteristic L-shaped molecular structure. tRNAs have two regions of fundamental functional importance: the anti-codon, which is responsible for specific mRNA codon recognition, and the 3' end, to which the tRNAs corresponding amino acid is attached (by aminoacyl-tRNA synthetases). tRNAs cope with the degeneracy of the genetic code in two manners: having more than one tRNA (with a specific anti-codon) for a particular amino acid; and 'wobble' base-pairing, i.e. permitting non-standard base-pairing at the 3rd anti-codon position. Lineage: Eukaryota; Rhodophyta; Florideophyceae; Gigartinales; Choreocolacaceae. The record is from RNAcentral.